Molecule: unclassified non-coding RNA, 294 nt
Filed under: Hevea brasiliensis (rubber tree)
Lineage: Eukaryota; Viridiplantae; Streptophyta; Magnoliopsida; Malpighiales; Euphorbiaceae
Source: RNAcentral
GGUCGAUCCUGCGGGAUGGAUGCCAUGGAUUAUCGGGACUAUACCAAAUGCUACUGUCUACUGUGCAGAAUAUGAGAAUACUGGACCAGGUUCUGUAGUCACUGGUCGAGUGACUUGGCCGGGAUACAAGUCCAGCAUUAGUGCCGAAGAAGCGAAGAAAUUUACAGUGGAAGAAUUUCUACAGGGGAGUGACUGGAUAUCAGAGAAUGGUGUUGAAUUUACGUCUAGUUUGUGAUUUCACCCAUUUCAUUAUGUACAAGUUGAGAGCAUUAGAUGUAUGGGGACAAAAUUAAA